RNAcentral lists this ribosomal RNA (819 nucleotides) under Dematipyriforma sp. JY-2023b. RNAcentral describes it as "partial large subunit ribosomal RNA". It matches the Rfam family "Eukaryotic large subunit ribosomal RNA", at positions 79 to 930 of the family's 3401-position model. Lineage: Eukaryota; Fungi; Ascomycota; Sordariomycetes; Savoryellales; Savoryellaceae. The record is from RNAcentral.
CUCAGUAACGGCGAGUGAAGCGGCAACAGCCCAGAUUUGAAAUCUGGCCUUCGGGCCCGAGUUGUAAUCUGUAGAUGAGUCUUUGGGUUACGUGCCGUCCAAGUCCCCUGGAAUGGGGCGCCAUAGAGGGUGAGAGCCCCGUACCGACGUGCGCCGCGCCUGUUUAAAGCUCAUUCGAAGAGUCGAGUAGUUUGGAAAUGCUGCUCUAAUUGUGGGGUAAAUCUCCCAUAAGGCUAAAUACCGGCCAGAGACCGAUAGCGCACAAGUAGCGUGAGCGAAAGAUGAAAAGAGCCUUGAAUAAGGGCGUCAAAAAGUAUGUGAAAUUGUUGUGGGGGAAGCGCUUAGUGCCAGACGUGGCGGCGGUUGGUUACCCGGUGUUCUUCGCCGGCGCACUCUUCCGUCGCCAGGCCAGCAUCGGUUCGGCUUGGGGCUCAAUGUCGUAGGGAACGUGGCUCCUCGGAGUGUUAUAACCUUGCGGCGACGUCCCGGACCGGACCGAGGUUCGCGCAUCUGCUCGGAUGCUGGCGUAAUGGCCCUCAGCGACCCGUCUUGAAACACGGACCAAGGAGUUGACCUAGCACGCGAGUGUUUGGGUGUAAAGCCCUCACGCGCAGUGAAAGCGAACGCAGGUGGGAGCCUCGGCGCACCAUCGACCGAUCCUGAAGUUUACGGAUGGAUUUGAGUAGGAGCGUGUUGGGUCUGACCCGAAAGAAGGUGAACUAUGCAUGAAUAGGGUGAAGCCAGAGGAAACUCUGGUGGAGGCUCGCAGCGGUUCUGACGUGCAAAUCGAUCGUCAAAUUUGUGCAUGGGGGCGAAAGA